AAGUAGAUUAAAUUCAGAUAAAAAUUGCGCAACCAAAUAAAAGAAGAAAAUCAAACUCAGAUGACACAGAUGAUUUAUCCUGGUUCGGCCCUUCUGUCUACUCCAGUCCGGUCCUUCUUCUCCUCGAGGUACCAAUUUCACUAUUACUUGGCCUUUUGAACAGGGCAAGACCAAAGCUGCUUACAAUCACACAAAACUUCUUUUACAACCUCUCAAUGAAGCUCACAAUUACAAAUUAAUGAACAAUUAGGACUUAGAGAAUUUUUCUGAAGUUGCAUCCCAAACAACAUCCAAGCCUCCCUUUAAAUACACUAGCCAUCAUUUCAAAAAUGGAACAAAAGCAUAAUAAAAUCAUAAUUGACUUCAAUUUGAAUCUUCACCAUAUUUGCAAAUGCAUUUGAAUUAAUUCCAAAAUAAAUUUGAAUUCAUACCAUAUUUGCAAAACUAAUUUGAAAUUAUACCAAAUUUGUAAAAUCCUUUUAAAUUAAUACUACAAAUGAAAACUUUUUGAACUCAUUCCACAUUUGUAAAAGCUUUCGAAUAAUACCAUACUUAUAAAAAUUAUUUAUAUCAUAUUUCAUAUUUUUUAAAUUCAUACCAUAAUAAAAUCAAUUUCAAAUUUAUACCAUACAUAAAAUCAUUUUCACACCAUAUUAAAAUAAUGGCUAAUUUGAUGUUAAACUCAAAUUAAACCCAAAAGGUUAACCGGCCAACUUGACUAGGUUGACUGGCUCAAAUCUGAUAAAUUGUAAAGAAGUCCUCCAAAAUAUUGUUGUGGCUCUUGCAUCCAAUUUGGUAUAAUUUGAUCUUGUCCGGGCCAAUCUGAACAAUUUAAUUUAAUUGUUACCUUUGAUCAUGAUUCCGGCUCGGUUUGAGCCACUUUAAAUUCAAUUAUAAUAUGAAAUUGCUAAGUAACAAAUUAAAUCCAAAAUUUGUUUGUUAUCAUCAAAAUUUAUUAUUGGAUAAAAUCCAACAAUCUCUCCUUUUUUGAUGAAGACAAACAAUUUGAAAAGGUAAUAAAGAAAUAAAUAAACUCCCCCCUCAAAAUAAGCACGAUAAAAAAAAAUCUUUCAAUUGAGAUAAACAAAACUUUUAAAAUAAUUUUGAGAUAACCUUUUCUUCUCCCC
This 1127-nucleotide long non-coding RNA is filed under the name Ananas comosus (pineapple). RNAcentral's name for it is "long non-coding RNA (ACOM_LNC030726)". The record is from RNAcentral. Lineage: Eukaryota; Viridiplantae; Streptophyta; Magnoliopsida; Poales; Bromeliaceae.